AGGACGAACGCUGGCGGCGUGCUUAACACAUGCAAGUCGAGCGGUAAGGCCUUUCGGGGUACACGAGCGGCGAACGGGUGAGUAACACGUGGGUGAUCUGCCCUGCACUUCGGGAUAAGCCUGGGAAACUGGGUCUAAUACCGGAUAUGACUUCAGGUCGCAUGACUUGGGGUGGAAAGAUUUAUCGGUGCAGGAUGGGCCCGCGGCCUAUCAGCUUGUUGGUGGGGUAAUGGCCUACCAAGGCGACGACGGGUAGCCGACCUGAGAGGGUGACCGGCCACACUGGGACUGAGACACGGCCCAGACCUCCGUACGGGAGGCAGCAGUGGGGAAUAUUGCACAAGUGGGACGAAAGCCUGACUGCAGCGACGCCGCGUGAGGAUGGACGGUCCGUUCGGGUUGUAAACCGUUCUUUCGAGUCGAGGACGAACGCGAGAGUACGUACCGUACG
Molecule: ribosomal RNA, 451 nt
Filed under: uncultured soil bacterium
Lineage: Bacteria
Description: bacterial SSU rRNA
Rfam family: Bacterial small subunit ribosomal RNA
Source: RNAcentral